AAAAAUGUUUACAGUAAUGGUAAUAUUGGUAAUAAUACACCAUUGGACUUAUUGCAAAGACAAUUUUUUCAAUGUUUGUUCAUAUCAAACCUGCCAAAUUGUUGCUAUUAGAGUUGGUCAUUCCUUACAUUAUGAGAUUCCUAAAAUGAAAAUAGCAGUAAUAGAUCCUGAGAGCUGUGAGAUCAUUUUGUUCAGGUUACAUAUUAAGGACACCAGUCUUUGGAAGAUUAGGAACGUUGUCUAUAGUUUCAUGACUAUGAAAUGGCAGAUUUUUUUUUCUCCAAACCCCAUGCUUUUUUUUUUUUUUUUUUUUUUUUUAUCACAACCGUGCAUGCCUCUCUCAGCCCCAUAUCUGCCCCAGAGAUGUCAAACAUUCCCUCCUCCCUACCCAUAUGCUGCCUUGGAGACUCUGCCCCACUCCUGACUUGGAAGGGAGAGUACUACCUGCCAUGUGACUGUGCCCCACCAGUCUCAGUUACUGACCUCAGAGUAGACAUCUGACUCAAGCUGGGUUGAUCGAAUUCUCUCCCAGGAAUUUGGAAUAGGGACAAAGAGGCUGAGUCAUUUAGCUGUGUGGAGCCAAGCUGCAAGGUCAUGCCCAGCUGGCCUGCCAUAGCAGGCCGAAACCUCAUGCUAGCCACAGUGAAGGGAAGCUGAGAAACCAUGAGUCAGCAGAAAAAAACUCGCAUGCAAACAAAAGAGCACAAAGAUGGGGCAGACCAACACCCAGAGUCAAACAGAGAGGCCAUGUACCUCGAAAGGCAGAGGAGAGAGAGAGAGAAAUAAAAUCUGCAUAAUCCCCUUCUUGGUCUUAUAAUGCCCAGCAGCUGUAUCUCCAGCGCUGGCUUAUUGUGACCCCAUAAUGACCUCUGCCUUUCAAUCAACCCUCUUUUUAUUUGAGUUAGUGGAAUUCUGUUCCUUGCAUGCAAAUUCUUCCUAAGACACUUCACAAUUCAUAUUGGAUAUAUUUUGGGGUAGAAAAACUAUUCUGCUCUUUAUGACGAUUAUGGAAAUUGAGGUUUUAUCUCAAAACCCACAACAGGCUGAGCAGCUCUCUGCAUUCUCUCCACUAAUUAUCCAGACUCCGAAGACUGAGCUUUCAAGGUACUUGUGGAAUCUCUACAGGCCCAAGGUUGACAUGACCAUAUCCGUGAAAAGCUCAGGUUUUCUGGCCUCACCCGAUCUCUCCCAGAAUCCCCAAGGAUGAUCUGACCUGAAUCAGCCAUUCCUCUGAAGAGCCAUGGUUCCUUUUAAUGGAGAAAGGUACAGGAUGCUUCUUCCAAAUUCUUCAGCACCGGUUGAUCACCUAGAGUGUAAUUUCCGCAGCUUGGCAGACAGCUGUGCUGGAGGUGAGUGAGUCCUUUGC
This is a non-coding RNA of Chlorocebus sabaeus (green monkey), 1366 nucleotides long. NCBI's taxonomy places the organism in Eukaryota, Metazoa, Chordata, Mammalia, Primates, Cercopithecidae. The record is from RefSeq and is a predicted model, not a curated record.